UCGCCGCCAUUUUAUUGUCCAGGCCGCAGCAGCAGCAGGUUGUCGCGCUCUUCAAGGCACCGAUCAAUGUUACAUUUGUGCCACUCUGCGAACCCGCGCUCGACAUACUGCCAAAAGAGCCGGGCGUCCUCCGAGGUCGAAUCGGCGGGCACGACAAACCCCCUACCCAAUGUGGUGUAAUUGUGAGCGCGGCGCCACGCGCACUGGAGGACCCUCUUUGCAAAACCAGCGUCGGGACACCGCGGCGAGCACACAAACUCGCCCUCGCCCGUCAGUGAGCCGUCGACGUAGCGCAGUCUUUGGAUGUCGCCGUUGGCAAAGACCGUGCUUACGAUGCCGUGUUCGUUUUCGGCCUUGAGCGGUUUGACGACAUAGGUGCCAUUCAAGCCUGCCGAGAUCAGUACAUCGGUGGCACCCGCCCAGUCGGCGACACCAUCGACGGCAUAGGAUCCUCUGGCGCGCCAGGUGCGCUUGCCAUUAUAGUGCUGUUCGACAAAGGCAAAUCGGCUCGUGCGGUAGUGCACGCACGAAAAAGUGCGGCACACGCUCCAAGGCUUGGCGCUAGCCUUGAAGCGCUCUGCCCACGCCGUCACUGUGCCAGACUCGCCCAAGUAGACGGCCACGCCAUAACCAGACCUCUUGCCGUUGACCCAGUCGCCGACAAGGAUCUUUUCCCUGAUGCCACAAACCCAGGCUUGGUGCUGACUCAACCGUCGAUAUAUGCCGCCGCCGCCGCGGCGCGUGAACCCCGGUCCGCUCGACCGACCGUGCACCUUUCGGGCGUGGGCGACAUAGAGCCACAGCCAGUCCUUGCCCACGGCAAAGGCGCGGGCCAGCGGCGCUGGAAGGCCGACAGUGGAUUCACACGGUGGGGGCAACAAUGUGGCCGCGCCGGUGCGCUCGUACAAGAAGCGCGCCUCGGGCGGCCAGGUCUCGGUCUCGUGAUAUCUGGCGUGCUGCGAUGUGUCGACCGUGUUCUUGGCAUACAUGGGCGCAAAGUGGCGCAUAAACAGCCCCCGCCACAGGCGUUGGUCGUGCGCGAUCCGACGAAAGCCCCGGCAGACGCCGCCCACGGCCAGCAGUUGGCGCGCGCCCAUGAACGAGGCCAUGUGGUAGAGGAUUUCGUCGGGCAGGCGGUCGCCUGUCGCCGCCAUGUUCUUGUUGCAGAGGUGGUUCUUUUUAUCCUUUUUUCUUUUUAUUUGUGGCAAAGUACCGAUGGAUUGCGUGUGCCUCGUGAUUGGUGCGGGCGCUCAUGGGGACGUAAAAAAAGCCAAGGACGCAC
RNAcentral lists this long non-coding RNA (1282 nucleotides) under Pandoravirus quercus. Its description in RNAcentral is "hypothetical ncRNA". The record is from RNAcentral.